This is a long non-coding RNA of Diorhabda sublineata, 2828 nucleotides long. RefSeq lists it as uncharacterized. The record is from RefSeq and is a predicted model, not a curated record. The transcript is spliced from 2 exons. Lineage: Eukaryota; Metazoa; Arthropoda; Insecta; Coleoptera; Chrysomelidae.
AUUGCUAAUUUUUAAAAAAUUUCAAUUUUGAAAAUAAUCUUACUUCAUCAACCUAGAUGUCCAUAAGGCACAGCCAGGUCUCAUUUCUCUAGCCAGUAGAGAUUUCACAAGAUUGCUCUUAAUAUCCUCAAAUAAUUUUGCGGACUCUCCUUCCAGUUCCUCAGCGUAAGAUUGCAGGAAAUAAAACAAAAGGCAUAGGAUAGGAAAGAAUGGAAACUACCGUUUCCAGGGGGGAAGCCCACGUAAUGACAACUCCAGCAUGGCUUAUGCCUGAAAAGGUAGAAAGGCUUCAGGAUGAAGUAAGUAAUGAUUGUUUUAUUUCUUUGGAGCUUGAAAUUUAUCUAGUUAUAAUAUUUUCAUUUUGUUAUAUUCAGUCCCAAGUUUUCAUAAUUUUCAAAAAUAUAAAAAUUGUAGCAUGAGUGACUCUGAAUAUCAUUGUUUUAUCAAAAUACACAAUACAAACUAUUUUUCUGGAGGUUAUUUGUCCCACUUCCUAAGGUGUUAGCACUAGUCCUACGAGGUACGUAAGCCUUUUGCUGAAAUUGACAGUACAUUCGCAGUGUAGACAAUCUACUGUUUACAUUGUCAACUUGCAGAAUCUGCUCUUGAUGGAUUCAAGUGAGGUGCUCUGAAAAACGCCCCCUGAACAAAAAGGUCUGCUAGAGCAAUUUACUGUUUAUAGUAAACCCUUAUCUAUAGUGAUCCUUUCUGAUAAGAGAACUGUUUUGUGUAAAAUGGCCUUCCAGUAAGAGCCCUGCUUCUUGUGUCCACACUUUUUAAGAAAUGGGAUGUCAGGCUGAUCGAGUGGUAAGACUUUGGUUGAUCAUCUGGUCUUCUGUCCUUUUAACAAGUAAGUAAGUUUUGAUAUAAAACAUUUGUAUUCAAUUUUUUUUUGUCAAACUACCAGCUACUAUUAAGGGGUUAUUGCUUUUUAUAUACAAAACACACAUGUUUUGGUUGAUAAUAAUUUUUGUUUCCUAUUUUCGAUUUUUUAGAAUAUUUUUCAUAAUUGAAGUAACUAUUGAUAGGAAUAUUGAGAAAAACAGUUUCCCUUCAAUUAUAUUAUAAAUCAGUUCAGUCCUUGAAUUGUUUGAAAUACAACAUGGUUGUAAACUAUGGUCAUCAACACUGACUAAAAAUUUUAUAUACUAAAAUUCACCUCUGAAAUCAUUGUCGAAGCAAGAGCGUAAGUUACUCCCGUCCAAACUUCUACACUUUGAACGGUACAGUUAUCGACAUUACCAUCUACAGUACCAUUCACAGCACCCAUGGUCCCAUUACAAAACAAUUGAACAUUAUUUUUGAAAAUACUGUUUAAGGUAAUUUCCACAUUUUCCUUAGGAAACACCUAAAAUAAAUUAUAUCAUUAAUUUAUUAUCAAGUUAUAUUAAUAUCAGUGGUAUACCAAUUAACGCUCGAGGUUACAUACACAAAAAGCUUUUGCCGAAGUAAAACAAACUACAGUUGGGUAUAGCCCGAAAACAGUGAAAUGUACCUAAAAUCCAAUCAAGAGUUUUUUUGCCAAUAACAAGAGUUACGUCAGGAAAAACAGCUUAGAAUCUCAAAGCUUCAUAAUAAAAGAUGGAUUAAGACAUGGAGAAGUAGUGGUUCCUUUGUUGUUGGGUAUAAUAAAUCUGAAGAAGAAUAUUGGCAGGUCAACAGUAGUAUAGAUAGGAGAAUAAACUGUUGAACAUAGGUCAAAAUGAUCAGAUACUUUUGCAUGAAAAUAUAUAGAGAAGGAAUAGACGACGUGGAAAUAAAUUAAAGAAAGUUUAGUACAUUGAAACAAUAUAGUGCAUUUCUAGGGUUAUUCAUGGCAAAAAUAUCAGUAGGAAAAUAAAAUCAAAAUGACGAUAUAUAAGACAGUAUACUGGCCAAUAUUGACAUAUGGAAGUGAAAGCUGGGUACUGACGAAAGGAAGAAUUAAGCAUUGAAUAAAUUUAGAUUAUAGAAAACAACAAGCUUAAAUGGUUUGGUCAGAAUGACAAAUAAAUAAGACACCAGUUAAAUGUAAGCAUAAUCAAAUAACAAACUGAAAAGAGAUAGACCUAAGAAAAAAUGGAGUAAAGAGAUAGCAGAAAUACUGGGAAAAUGAGGGACCACAUAGUACCAAGCAAUAACUAUGUCAAAAAAGAAUAGAAGUUUAUUCAUGAAAAGAAAAAUAUAAGGGACUCAGCCCUACACAUUUGGGUACACAGACGUUUAGGAUUUUAUAUGAUGAUGAGUUUAAUAAUAACAGGGGCUCAAUUAGUUAUAUAAUAUAGUUCUAAUCUAAUAAUGAAUAUAUUUACUUCAUAAUCUUUCAUUCCCGCACACCUUAAAUACCAAUGACCACAUAAUUGGUCGGCCAUUAUAGAUUUGUACUGCUCUUUGGAGCAAUCAAAGUUAUAAUAACUACCGUUCCAUAAUUUUCGUUGAUAAGCUGGUUUCGCCUUGUUUAAAAUAUUUUCAAAAACCUUUUUAUGGUUACCCUUUCCUAGUUGAUCCGCCAUUGUCAUCAUUGCUUGUAAAGCAGCUAACCAUAAACCUCCACAAUAAGCACUAAAAAUUAGUUUAUCAGUAAUUUUAUUUCGUUCCAAUAAUUUUUUAUUUCACAAAAAAUAUCACAUAAAAAGAGGGAGAAUGGAGGGGAGAAAAGCUUGUUUCAAAUAAAGAUAUAUAAAGAGGAUAGUACACAAGAUAUAUAACUUUUGAGGAGGUGAAAACAUUGGUCAAUUAAAGAAUUAUAAUAACCAGAAUAAAAACAAUAAACAUAGAAUUAUACAAAUGGAUAAAAAAAUAGUAAAAAUAAUAGUGAAGAUAUAAAUAGAAACAAUUAUAAAAAUAAA